AAGAGUUAGGGUCUUUUAGGCCCGACCUCCCAACCCUUUGUUUAUUGAACCUCUGUUGCUUCGGCGGACCCGUCUCACGACCGCCGGAGGACUGCCUAAGCGGCGUCCUCUGGCCCGUGUCCGCCGAGAGCCCCCUUUAAAAUUCUUGAAUGAAUCGUGUCUUUUAUGCCUAAGUCAAUGAUUAAAUCAAAAGCA
Molecule: unclassified non-coding RNA, 195 nt
Filed under: uncultured fungus
Lineage: Eukaryota; Fungi
Description: sequence contains ITS1, 5.8S rRNA gene
Source: RNAcentral